UGAAUGAUUUGAGGAAUGUUUGUAG
This 25-nucleotide non-coding RNA is filed under the name Mus musculus (house mouse). The record is from RNAcentral. Lineage: Eukaryota; Metazoa; Chordata; Mammalia; Rodentia; Muridae. RNAcentral also lists the same sequence under 1 other name.